GAUGGUAGUGUAUUGGACUACCAUGGCUUUCACGGGUAACGGAGGAUUAGGGUUCGAUUCCGGAGAGGGAGCCUGAGAAACGGCUACCACAUCUAAGGAAGGCAGCAGGCGCGUAAAUUACCCAAUCGCGACUCGCGGAGGUAGUGACAAGAAAUAACGGACCGAAGCCUAUGUUUCGGGAUUGCAAUGAGUAGAAUUUAAACCCCUUUACGAGGAUCAAUUGGAGGGCAAGUCUGGUGCCAGCAGCCGCGGUAAUA
RNAcentral lists this ribosomal RNA (257 nucleotides) under uncultured eukaryote. Its description in RNAcentral is "partial 18S rRNA". It matches the Rfam family "Eukaryotic small subunit ribosomal RNA", at positions 324 to 584 of the family's 1831-position model. The record is from RNAcentral.